CGCGGCGCUGGAAUUGACGUUUCCUCCAUCCUCUGGUAUCCUUAACCCGCGACCGGGCGGGACCGGCGCGGCGGAAACCUUCGAACCCCGACAGGUCCGAGAGGAAGCAUCGGUAAGGAGGCCCUUCCGGGCGCCGCCGGCAAACCUGCCCGGUCGCAUUUUUAAGAGAACUCACCACG
RNAcentral lists this signal recognition particle RNA (179 nucleotides) under Longilinea arvoryzae. RNAcentral's name for it is "bacterial large signal recognition particle RNA". The stretch from base 55 to 154 matches the Rfam family "Bacterial small signal recognition particle RNA". Rfam says of the family: The signal recognition particle (SRP) is a universally conserved ribonucleoprotein involved in the co-translational targeting of proteins to membranes. Archaeal SRP consists of a 7S RNA and homologues of the eukaryotic SRP19 and SRP54 proteins. The record is from RNAcentral. Lineage: Bacteria; Bacillati; Chloroflexota; Anaerolineae; Anaerolineales; Anaerolineaceae.